UUCCAUAGGUGUAUAGUCUUCAAAUUAUAGUUAUAGUUAUAGAUCUAGAUUAGAUAGAAUAAAAUUCUCUCACCUAUUUUUGUGUCUUGAAUUGAUUGAUUGAAUGCAAGAAAAGCCAUGUCUUCUUACUCUUCUCUGAUCUGCAUAUCCAUUGAAUUUAGCUCUGGUAACAUGCUCUAUUUUGCUCUGGGCAUUGUGGAUUGGUGGUGGUAUUAGAGAUUGCGGUUAGGCAUUAAUUGGGACUAUUGUGGUUACAAGCAUUAUGGUCAACCUAUGAAAUACAUAUAUUCUUCAGCAUUUCCCAAACAAGGUGUCAAGAACAA
This is a long non-coding RNA of Medicago truncatula (barrel medic), 323 nucleotides long. RefSeq lists it as uncharacterized. The transcript has 3 exons. The record is from RefSeq and is a predicted model, not a curated record. NCBI's taxonomy places the organism in Eukaryota, Viridiplantae, Streptophyta, Magnoliopsida, Fabales, Fabaceae.